GGGCAGGUACCGAAGUGGACAAACGGGGCUGACUGUAAAUCAGCUGGCAGACGCCUUCGGCGGUUCGAAUCCGUCCCUGCCCA
This 83-nucleotide transfer RNA is filed under the name Anaerolineae bacterium. RNAcentral's name for it is "tRNA-Tyr". It matches the Rfam family "tRNA". From Rfam's summary of the family: Transfer RNA (tRNA) molecules are approximately 80 nucleotides in length. Their secondary structure includes four short double-helical elements and three loops (D, anti-codon, and T loops). Further hydrogen bonds mediate the characteristic L-shaped molecular structure. tRNAs have two regions of fundamental functional importance: the anti-codon, which is responsible for specific mRNA codon recognition, and the 3' end, to which the tRNAs corresponding amino acid is attached (by aminoacyl-tRNA synthetases). tRNAs cope with the degeneracy of the genetic code in two manners: having more than one tRNA (with a specific anti-codon) for a particular amino acid; and 'wobble' base-pairing, i.e. permitting non-standard base-pairing at the 3rd anti-codon position. The record is from RNAcentral. Lineage: Bacteria; Bacillati; Chloroflexota; Anaerolineae.